CAGCAGCCACGGGAAUACGGAGGGUGCAAGCGUUAAUCGGAAUUACUGGGCGUAAAGCGCACGCAGGCGGUCUGACAAGUCAGAUGUGAAAUCCCCGGGCUUAACCUGGGAACUGCAUUUGAAACUGUCAGGCUGGAGUCUUGUAGAGGGGGGUGGAAUUCCAGGUGUAGCGGUGAAAUGCGUAGAGAUCAGGAGGAAUACCGGUGGCGAAGGCGGCCCCCUGGACAAAGACUGACGCUCAGGUGCGAAAGCGUGGGGAGCAAACAGGAUUAGAUACCCGGGUAGUCCCUGUCUCUUAUAC
RNAcentral lists this ribosomal RNA (301 nucleotides) under uncultured bacterium. RNAcentral describes it as "partial 16S ribosomal RNA". It matches the Rfam family "Bacterial small subunit ribosomal RNA", at positions 509 to 807 of the family's 1533-position model. The record is from RNAcentral.